Molecule: long non-coding RNA, 472 nt
Organism: Gallus gallus (chicken)
Lineage: Eukaryota; Metazoa; Chordata; Aves; Galliformes; Phasianidae
Source: Ensembl
GUGAAUAGAACAUUUUUAUUUCUAAGUUCAACUUACUGCACGCAUCAAAGUGGGAAAGUUCACCUGAUGUGACUGCGAAGGAAGAAAAAGAAAGAGAAAGCUGGACAGCAGUUUUGCAGAUAUAUUAACUGUAUUUGGAUUCUUCAUCUCUAGGAGUCACAUCCCUCACAGCAUUGCAGAGAGACACUGCAGCUGUCAAGAUACUUUUAAGUGUUCUGUGAUGAGUUUGACCUCCUAUCAUGACUGUCCCCUUGUUCUCAGACAUGGAAUUUAAAAACAAGUGCUGAAGUCCUCAAGCUUUACCUAACAUGUGUGGAACAGUACAGUUCCUUCUUGUUUGAAAGAAUAUUUAACCCCUCCUCCUGCCCCCCCCAAGACACAGACAACAAACAAACAAACAAAACCAAAAUCAUUUUAUUUCCUUUCUUCUGAAGUUUAAAAAGGAAAGCACAAAUUCUUCUGGUCAUGAAUG